GGAGGAAUAUUGGACAAUGGGCGCAAGCCUGAUCCAGCCAUGCCGCGUGCAGGAUGAAGCAUCUAUGGUGUGUAAACUGCUUUUGUACGAGAAGAAACACUGCAACGUGUUGCAGCUUGACGGUAUCGUAAGAAUAAGGAUCGGCUAACUCCGUGCCAGCAGCCGCGGUAAUACGGAGGAUCCAAGCGUUAUCCGGAAUCAUUGGGUUUAAAGGGUCCGUAGGCGGGCCAGUAAGUCAGUGGUGAAAUCU
This 250-nucleotide ribosomal RNA is filed under the name uncultured bacterium. RNAcentral describes it as "partial 16S ribosomal RNA". It matches the Rfam family "Bacterial small subunit ribosomal RNA", at positions 355 to 602 of the family's 1533-position model. The record is from RNAcentral.